This 192-nucleotide small nuclear RNA is filed under the name Trichobilharzia regenti. Its description in RNAcentral is "U2 spliceosomal RNA". It matches the Rfam family "U2 spliceosomal RNA". Rfam says of the family: U2 is a small nuclear RNA (snRNA) component of the spliceosome (involved in pre-mRNA splicing). Complementary binding between U2 snRNA (in an area lying towards the 5' end but 3' to hairpin I) and the branchpoint sequence (BPS) of the intron results the bulging out of an unpaired adenosine, on the BPS, which initiates a nucleophilic attack at the intronic 5' splice site, thus starting the first of two transesterification reactions that mediate splicing. The record is from Rfam by way of RNAcentral. Lineage: Eukaryota; Metazoa; Platyhelminthes; Trematoda; Strigeidida; Schistosomatidae.
GAUGCUUCUCAGAUCCCUAAACUUAUAUCAUGUGUAGUAUUUGUUCUUUGCGGUGUGAUUACUGCAACGAUCUCUAAACUGAGACCAAUGCAAUUACCUGUAUUUUACGCUUAUAAGCGGAUGCUAGGAGUUGCUCAACCCCGUCUAUGAGUCAGCAUCUUACUGCAUGUGAGUUCCUUUGAUUUAUAUCAU